UUAUGAGUUACAUCUUUCCCCCCCCCCCCCCCCCCUUCCACUUAACAGUGAACAAAUCUACAGAAACUCAAUGUGUUAUUUUUUAUUUUUUUUUAACAUUGAUAUCUUUGGCCCUCCAUUACAAUCCAAAUGGUAGGUAUGUGUGUAUAUUGAUCAUUUAGAGUUUAGGUAUUCAUAAGCAGUUGAAUGAUGAUUUGGAAAUAGACAUUGAGCAAUGAAUCAUUCUUACCUGGCAUCUUUAGGCCAAACAUUUUUUUUUAUAUGGAUGAAUGUUUCUUGAAAUUUCUACAAAAAUUAGUCUUUUUUUUAACCAGAUAAAAGUGCAAAAUCAGAUACAAUUAAUGAGAUAAUUAGAUUUAACGUACAUUUAAAAAUAUCUAUGUUAUAGAAUUAUUUUACAAAAACUUUCAAAGCAUUAUUAAUAAUUUAGAAUAAUGCUUUGAAAACUAGAUCAAAUAUGGAUAACUUGUAAUAACUAUAAUUCAUACUUCAGAUGUAGUGGAGGGUCUUGUCUUUAAUUUCCAGUGAUUGUUUUAACCAAUAUGUCUCUCAAAUGAUUUUCAAAAAAGUUGAAGUGCAAUUUCUAUUGACAAAAUUAUGUAAGGAUUUUGUUGACCAACUGCCUCGUGAAUGAAAGAAAUAAUAAUUUACACAGAUUUAUUUAUGCACAUUUCUCUGUGAUAUUUUAAAACACACAAGCCUAUUUUUUUCUGUCUAUUUAUAUUUAGGUUAUGUCUAUACCUUUUAUAUGGAAAUAUUCAUUGACUAAUUACUUAUGUAUACAUUUGUACCAAUGCUGUAAUAACUAGCUGUACUAAAAUAUGUCCAGUUUUAUUUUCACUUCAUAACUCUUUCUCUCUUAACGAUAAUAUCUUCGUUGAUUUGAUGCCAUUCUUUCAGCCAAAUCGAUAUUAGUCAAUGCUUAAAGUUAAAUAUUUUGUUUUAUUUCCUCCCAAAAUGUUUUUAUUUGCUUAAAAUUUUAUCUUGAAUAGUUUCCCUUUGUAAGACAUCCAGAUUUUUUUCAUUUUUAUACAUUUUAAGAAGUUGGGGGCUUUAAAAAAGUCUCUAUUUUCUUUAGAUUUUUUAUUUCUUUGGGGGUAAUGACAUCGGACAAUAAGCUCAAGCCAAUAAUUUUAUAUGUUUUAGAUGCUUUAUCAAAAUGACUAUAUUAAAUAAUAAUUUAUUUUAACUUGAAUCGUAAAAAUAUUACCAAAAUCUAGUUCUAAUGAAUUUUGCCCACAGUCUGUAAGUUUUAAUUUUUAAAUUCCAUAAUCCAAAAUUAAAUAAAAUAUUGGUUUUAUAAACAUUUUGUUUAUAUAGAAAGGGCAUGCAUUCCCUUUUAUCUUUCUACCAAAUAUAACAUUGUCUGAUAACAAAUAAAAAAAGUUACUGUACUUUAAUCUUAACAGCGUAGUUCAAUACAAAAGUGCAAAAUGGAUUGUUCCAUUGGAACGUGAAAAUAAUUCCAGAGAGAAAUAGUUAAACCAAAUUAUUGUACUGAGUUCAAGCAGGUGUUCAGCUAUUGACUUUUGUUGAAUUCUUUGAUGGUUUAUAUUAUUUAAAAGCAAGAAAAAAUAUUAAAACUGCUUUGGAUUGAAAGGUAAAGAACUUCUGAAAGGUAAAGAACUUCUUGAAGUAAUGAUACUUAUGUGCCUGAGCGAGACCAUUCUGUUCUUAUGAAAGUAUGGUACUAAAUGUGACCCACUCUUAAGCAUGGAAGCCAGCAAAGAUUUAUUCUAGUUAAUAUCUGAAAAUUGUUAUACAAAAAAAAAAAAAAAAAAAAAAG
Biomphalaria pfeifferi is the source of this 1786-nucleotide non-coding RNA. The record is from the annotation of a GenBank genome assembly. Lineage: Eukaryota; Metazoa; Mollusca; Gastropoda; Planorbidae.